This 253-nucleotide ribosomal RNA is filed under the name uncultured bacterium. RNAcentral describes it as "partial 16S ribosomal RNA". It matches the Rfam family "Bacterial small subunit ribosomal RNA", at positions 524 to 776 of the family's 1533-position model. The record is from RNAcentral.
UACGGAGGGGGCUAGCGUUGUUCGGAAUUACUGGGCGUAAAGCGCGCGUAGGCGGAUCUGUAAGUUGGGGGUGAAAUCCCGAGGCUCAACCUCGGAACUGCCUUCGAUACUGCAGAUCUCGAGUCCGAGAGAGGUGAGUGGAAUUCCUAGUGUAGAGGUGAAAUUCGUAGAUAUUAGGAAGAACACCAGUGGCGAAGGCGGCUCACUGGCUCGGUACUGACGCUGAGGCGCGAAAGCGUGGGGAGCAAACAGG